GACGAACGCUGGCGGCGUGCUUAACACAUGCAAGUCGAACGGAAAGGCCCUGCUUUUGUGGGGUGCUCGAGUGGCGAACGGGUGAGUAACACGUGAGUAACCUGCCCUUGACUUUGGGAUAACUUCAGGAAACUGGGGCUAAUACCGGAUAGGAGCUCCUGCUGCAUGGUGGGGGUUGGAAAGUUUCGGCGGUUGGGGAUGGACUCGCGGCUUAUCAGCUUGUUGGUGGGGUAGUGGCUUACCAAGGCUUUGACGGGUAGCCGGCCUGAGAGGGUGACCGGCCAAAUUGGGACUGGGAUACGGCCCGGACUCCUACGGGGGGAAGCAGGGGGGAAUUUUGCACAAUGGGGGGAAGCCUGAUGCAGCAACGCCGCGGGCGGGAUGACGGCCUUCGGGUGGUAAACCGCUUUCGCCUGUGACGAAGCGUGAGUGACGGUAAUGGGGAAAGAAGCACCGGCUAACUACGU
RNAcentral lists this ribosomal RNA (467 nucleotides) under uncultured bacterium. Its description in RNAcentral is "partial 16S ribosomal RNA". It matches the Rfam family "Bacterial small subunit ribosomal RNA", at positions 28 to 506 of the family's 1533-position model. The record is from RNAcentral.